CACGGAACCAGAACGUGUAUCGC
This 23-nucleotide non-coding RNA is filed under the name Cricetulus griseus (Chinese hamster). Lineage: Eukaryota; Metazoa; Chordata; Mammalia; Rodentia; Cricetidae. The record is from RNAcentral.